RNAcentral lists this ribosomal RNA (427 nucleotides) under uncultured bacterium. RNAcentral's name for it is "bacterial SSU rRNA". It matches the Rfam family "Bacterial small subunit ribosomal RNA", at positions 355 to 775 of the family's 1533-position model. The record is from RNAcentral.
UGGGGAAUAUUGGACAAUGGGCGAAAGCCUGAUCCAGCAAUACCGCGUGUGUGAAGAAGGCCUUCGGGUUGUAAAGCACUUUAGGUCGGAAAGAAAAAACUUUUCCUAAUACGAGAAGUCUUGACGGUACCGACAGAAUAAGCACCGGCUAACUCUGUGCCAGCAGCCGCGGUAAUACAGAGGGUGCAAGCGUUAAUCGGAUUUACUGGGCGUAAAGCGUGCGUAGGUGGCGAUUUAAGUCGGAUGUGAAAGCCCUGGGCUUAACCUGGGAACUGCAUUCGAUACUGGAUUGCUAGAGAUCGGUAGAGGGCAGCGGAAUUCCGGGUGUAGCGGUGAAAUGCGUAGAUAUCCGGAGGAACACCGAUGGCGAAGGCAACUGCCUGGGCCUGAUCUGACACUGAGGCACGAAAGCGUGGGUAGCAAACAG